Molecule: long non-coding RNA, 259 nt
Filed under: Glycine max (soybean)
Lineage: Eukaryota; Viridiplantae; Streptophyta; Magnoliopsida; Fabales; Fabaceae
Description: long non-coding RNA (GMAX_LNC002661)
Source: RNAcentral
UUCAAUGGAGGCUGGAUCUUUGAGCUUCAAUGAGGUCCUUUAAUGGUGAUUUUCCACCAUGGAGAUGCAGCGGAAGACAAAGGAGAAGAGGUGAGAGGAGGCACCAUCCACUAGGGAAUAGCCAUGGAAGAAGGAGCUUCACCACAAAGAUGGGCCUUGGAUAAGAAGCUUGGAGAAGAUGCUUCAAGGGAGGAAAAGAAAGAGGGAGAGAAAGAGAGAGGGGGGAGCACGAAAUUUAAGGAAUAAAAAGGGACAGAAG